Molecule: ribosomal RNA, 274 nt
Filed under: uncultured bacterium
Lineage: Bacteria
Description: partial 16S ribosomal RNA
Rfam family: Bacterial small subunit ribosomal RNA
Source: RNAcentral
AUACGGAGGGUGCAAGCGUUGUCCGGAUUUACUGGGUUUAAAGGGUCCGUAGGCGGGUCUUUAAGUCAGUGGUGAAAUCCUACGGCUCAACCGUAGAACUGCCAUUGAUACUGAAGAUCUUGAGUAUAGUUGAGGUAGGCGGACUUUAUGAUGUAGCGGUGAAAUGCAUAGAUAUCAUAAAGAACACCAAUUGCGAAGGCAGCUUACUAAACUAUUACUGACGCUCAGGGACGAAAGCGUGGGGAGCGAACAGGAUUAGAAACCCCAGUAGUCC